RNAcentral lists this ribosomal RNA (478 nucleotides) under uncultured Planctomycetales bacterium. Its description in RNAcentral is "bacterial SSU rRNA". It matches the Rfam family "Bacterial small subunit ribosomal RNA", at positions 364 to 832 of the family's 1533-position model. Lineage: Bacteria; Pseudomonadati; Planctomycetota; Planctomycetia; Planctomycetales. The record is from RNAcentral.
UUUCGCAAUGCCCGAAAGGGUGACGAAGCGACGCCGCGUGUGGGAAGAAGGCCUUCGGGUUGUAAACCACUGUUGGGAGUUAGGAAAUGCAGGUGCGUUAAUAGCGCACUUGCUUGACUAAGGCUCCAGAGGAAGCCACGGCUAACUCUGUGCCAGCAGCCGCGGUAAUACAGAGGCGGCAAGCGUUGUUCGGAAUUAUUGGGCGUAAAGAGCACGUAGGCGGCCUUGCGAGUCAGUUGUGAAAGCCUUCCGCUUAACGGAAGAACGGCAUCUGAUACUACAGGGCUUGAGUACGGGAGGGGAGAGUGGAACUUCUGGUGGAGCGGUGAAAUGCGUAGAUAUCAGAAGGAACGCCGGCGGCGAAAGCGACUCUCUGGUCCGAAACUGACGCUGAGUGUGCGAAAGCUAGGGGAGCAAACGGGAUUAGAUACCCCGGUAGUCCUAGCCGUAAACGAUGGGCACUAAGUAGAGGGGUUUU